RNAcentral lists this ribosomal RNA (497 nucleotides) under uncultured bacterium. RNAcentral describes it as "partial 16S ribosomal RNA". It matches the Rfam family "Bacterial small subunit ribosomal RNA", at positions 28 to 507 of the family's 1533-position model. The record is from RNAcentral.
GAUGAACGCUGGCGGCGUGCCUAAUACAUGCAAGUCGAGCGAACAGACGAGGCGCUUGCUCCUCUGACGUUAGCGGCGGACGGGUGAGUAACACGUGGAUAACCUACCUAUAAGACUGGGAUAACUUCGGGAAACCGGAGCUAAUACCGGAUAAUAUAUUGAACCGCAUGGUUCAAUAGUGAAAGACGGUUUUGCUGUCACUUAUAGAUGGAUCCGCGCCGCAUUAGCUAGUUGGUAAGGUAACGGCUUACCAAGGCAACGAUGCGUAGCCGACCUGAGAGGGGGAUCGGCCACCCUGGAACGGAGACACGGUCCAGACUCCUACGGGAGGCAGCAGUAGGGAAUCUUCCGCAAUGGGCGAAAGCCUGACGGAGCAACGCCGCGUGAGUGAUGAAGGUCUUCGGAUCGUAAAACUCUGUUAUUAGGGAAGAACAAAUGUGUAAGUAACUAUGCACGUCUUGACGGUACCUAAUCAGAAAGCCACGGCUAACUACGUG